Cyanistes caeruleus (blue tit) is the source of this 618-nucleotide long non-coding RNA. RefSeq lists it as uncharacterized. Lineage: Eukaryota; Metazoa; Chordata; Aves; Passeriformes; Paridae. The record is from RefSeq and is a predicted model, not a curated record.
UAUUGCCAUGUACGUAUUUGUAAGAUAACAGUUGUGUUUUGGGGCAUUGAAGGGAAAAGUCUGGACAUUCACGUCCCGUGUCCUGACCCAGGAGGGACACUGGGUUGGCAGUAGGCCUUCUGCAGUGAGCUGCCUGAACUCUCCUUGCUUUGGCCAUGGGUGCAGCACAUGUGGUGGGAAGAAGCAUUCUGACUGAAGCCUUGCCAUAAACCCUGAUGCUGAAUGCUCAAUGUGCUGCCUUUGGUAGUUGCAAUCAUGGCUCAGUUGACUCUCCAGAGACAAGACAUCUGUAUCUGUGCUGCUUUAAUGGCAAGCCUAGAAUUUUCUCUAGUUCUCCUCCCCACCUGCAUUUCUUUGCUUGGAAAGACAGAGUAAAAGGCAACACAUAAACAUAACAUACCCAUUAGAGAAUUUAGGUGUCAUGGUUUGCAUGCUCUGGGAACAAAUAUAACAGUACAGGUCUGUCUGCUAUGCUUGCCAAAGAACAUUAAAAUCCUAAUGUUAUAAUGGUCUGCACCCCUGAGCAGUCUCCCACAUCUAGGCUCUGGUGUUUGCUGCACCUCUGGGUGGUCCCCUCUACCUUCUCAUAUCUAAAAGGUAGCAGGUGUGAACUACUAC